GGCAAACGGGUGAGUAACGCGUGGGAACCUGCCCAGAGGUAGGGAAUAACCGCGGGAAACUGCGGCUAAUACCCUAUGUGUCCUGAGGGACAAAGAUUUAUCGCCUUUGGAGGGGCCCGCGUCGGAUUAGGUAGUUGGUGGGGUAACGGCCUACCAAGCCAUCGAUCCGUAGCUGGUCUGAGAGGAUGAUCAGCCACACUGGGACUGAGAUACGGCCCAGACUCCUACGGGAGGCAGCAGUGGGGAAUAUUGGACAAUGGGGGCAACCCUGAUCCAGCAAUGCCGCGUGAGUGAUGAAGGCCUUCGGGUUGUAAAGCUCUUUCGGCGGGGAAGAUGAUGACGGUACCCGCAGAAGAAGCCCCGGCUAACUUCGUGCCAGCAGCCGCGG
Molecule: ribosomal RNA, 388 nt
Filed under: uncultured bacterium
Lineage: Bacteria
Description: bacterial SSU rRNA
Rfam family: Bacterial small subunit ribosomal RNA
Source: RNAcentral